RNAcentral lists this long non-coding RNA (702 nucleotides) under Sarcophilus harrisii (Tasmanian devil). RNAcentral describes it as "lncRNA (ENSSHAG00000024854.1)". Lineage: Eukaryota; Metazoa; Chordata; Mammalia; Dasyuromorphia; Dasyuridae. The record is from RNAcentral.
UGUACUGGCCCUUCUGGCUAUAGAUCCUUGAGCAAGACCCUUCUUUCUCCUUGUAGGCUCUAGUAUCCUCAUCUGAAAAAUCAGAGGAAAAGAAAUAGAGAAGAAGGAAGAGGUGAUGGUAGUUCCAUGACUGUCCCUGUGUCUGCUACACCUAAUCUCCCUUUCUUCAGAACUGACUUCUAAGUGGACAAGUUGGGAGUGUCACCUUCUUCAAAGGAGGCCUUGUUUUCAUACUUUGGGAUCUUCAGUAUCUAGUAGAGUGUCUGGCACAGAAUCCGGCUCCCCCUUACCCCCUUUCUUCCAAAAGGAGGAUCAGCCUUACCUGUCUGCUUUUGUGAGGAUUAAAAAUCACCAGGUAUGGGGGAGAGAGUUUCUCAAAGGCUCCUUGUUCCCUGAGGGCCAUCACACUAAAUGGAGGAUGACGAUGAAGAUCUGCUUUCUGUAGCCAUGAGGAACACAUUCCAGCAUUUUGACUAAGCCCUUGAACUUGUCCCAGUCUCAGAAGUGCUCAUCUGUACCUCUGCCAGCAGAUGGAGAUGUUUGACAACAGAGAAAAUAGCCCAACUAAAGCCAUCAUCAAUCACUUCACUCUGAAGGCUCCAACAAUGCAGGACCAGUAUUGGUUCAGUGGAAUCUUCUUCUUCUAAAGCACCAUUUCCCAAGCUAAUUUGACUACAGAACACAUUGGGUCUUGUAAUAAAU